AAUAAUAAAUUUAAAUUAAAAUAUUUAUAUUAUUUUAAUUUUUAAUUUUUAAUUAUAUAAGUUUAAAAAUAAUUGGAAUAAAAAGAAUGUAAAUUAGUUUAUAUACUACNAUAUAUAUAGAGAGAGAAAACUAAAUUGCUAUAUAUAUUAUUAACAGUACCAAGUUAUUGAUACUAUUAGAGUUUUGGCUCUUGGACAAAGAGAUAUGCGAGACGAAGAGAUAUGCGAUUAAGAUAAUAAUAAUUUUGAGUUGUUGAUUAAAUAAUACGAUUUAACGGAUAAAAAUGGUUAAAGGAAUAAUCUAACAACGAAAACUUAUAGCAACGAGCUAACGCUUGUUGCUGUUUUUUUUUUUCUUUUUUUUUGAGAGAGAAAUAGGUAGCACGCUAUCCACUUCGUUUAUUUCAUUUAGAAAUAAACUUAGCUAAAAAUAUAAAUCAACUAGAAUUCAAACUUGGGUCUCGAGAAUCAACCACCAAACUCUUUGCCACUUAUACUAGGGACAGUCGGUAACGUUUGUUGCUGUUG
RNAcentral lists this long non-coding RNA (528 nucleotides) under Ananas comosus (pineapple). Its description in RNAcentral is "long non-coding RNA (ACOM_LNC039567)". Lineage: Eukaryota; Viridiplantae; Streptophyta; Magnoliopsida; Poales; Bromeliaceae. The record is from RNAcentral.